RNAcentral lists this ribosomal RNA (274 nucleotides) under uncultured bacterium. RNAcentral describes it as "partial 16S ribosomal RNA". It matches the Rfam family "Archaeal small subunit ribosomal RNA", at positions 473 to 747 of the family's 1478-position model. The record is from RNAcentral.
AAACCAGCACCUCAAGUGGUCAGGAUGAUUAUUGGGCCUAAAGCAUCCGUAGCCUGCUCUGUAAGUUUUCGGUUAAAUCUGUAUGCUCAACAUACAGGCUGCCGGGAAUACUGCAAAGCUAGGGAGUGGGAGAGGUAGACGGUACUCGGGAGGAAGUGGUAAAAUGCUUUGAUCUCUCGAUGACCACCCGUGGCGAAGGCGGUCUACCAGAACACGUCCGACGGUGAGGGAUGAAAGCUGGGGGAGCAAACCGGAUUAGAAACCCCAGUAGUCC